Molecule: transfer RNA, 71 nt
Filed under: Salmonella enterica subsp. enterica serovar Paratyphi A
Lineage: Bacteria; Pseudomonadati; Pseudomonadota; Gammaproteobacteria; Enterobacterales; Enterobacteriaceae
Description: tRNA-OTHER
Source: RNAcentral
CGCGGGGUGGAGCAGCCUGGUAGCUCGUCGGGCUBBBAAGGUCGUCGGUUCAAAUCCGGCCCCCGCAACCA